UUGAAAGGGAAACGAUUGAAGUCAGUCGUACCGGCGGGUAAUCAGCCUUUCGGGCAUGAUUCUGUGGAGCGUGAGGAGUUAAACGCCUUCAUGCCUGCAUAUUCGUGCUCUUGGGUGUACUUGCUCGUGUGGUUGGUUAACAUCAAUUUUGGUUAUCAUAAAAUGGCUGGAGGAAUGUAGCUUCGAUUUCGAUUGAAGUGUUAUAGCCUUCGGCAGAUGUGAUGAUCGGGAUUGAGGAUUGCAACGGAUACCCUUCGGGGCUACCUGCCUGAUCUCUGAUCGUUGCUCUGGUGCCGAAAGCGUGCUUACGGUUAUCAAAGUCGAUGGUCAAUAGGUUAGAAUGGGUUAAAUUCGUUAAGGAUGUUGACGUA
RNAcentral lists this ribosomal RNA (371 nucleotides) under uncultured Glomeromycotina. RNAcentral's name for it is "eukaryotic LSU rRNA". Lineage: Eukaryota; Fungi; Glomeromycota. The record is from RNAcentral.